UUUCCAGACUCCUACGGGAGGCAGCAGUGGGGAAUAUUGGGCAAUGGGCGCAAGCCUGACCCAGCAACGCCGCGUGAAGGAAGAAGGCUUUCGGGUUGUAAACUUCUUUUAAGAGGGAAGAGAAGAAGACGGUACCUCUUGAAUAAGCCACGGCUAACUACGUGCCAGCAGCCGCGGUAAUACGGAGGGUGCGAGCGUUAAUCGGAAUUACUGGGCGUAAAGCGCUCGUAGGCGGUAUGUCAAGUCAAGGGUGAAAUCCCCGCGCUCAACGUGGGAACUGCCUUUGAAACUGGCAAACUGGAGUGUGUGAGAGGAUAGUGGAAUUCCAGGUGUAGGAGUGAAAUCCGUAGAUAUCUGGAGGAACAUCAGUGGCGAAGGCGACUAUCUGGCACAUAACUGACGCUGAGGAGCGAAAGCGUGGGUAGCAAACAGGAUUAGAUACCCCCGUAGC
This 451-nucleotide ribosomal RNA is filed under the name uncultured bacterium. RNAcentral describes it as "bacterial SSU rRNA". It matches the Rfam family "Bacterial small subunit ribosomal RNA", at positions 328 to 794 of the family's 1533-position model. The record is from RNAcentral.